GAGGGGCCCGCGCCUGAUUAGCUAGUUGGUGGGGUAACGGCUCACCAAGGCGACGAUCAGUAGCCGGCCUGAGAGGGCGGACGGCCACACUGGGACUGAGACACGGCCCAGACUCCUACGGGAGGCAGCAAUGGGGAAUUGUUCGCAAUGGGCGCAAGCCUGACGACGCAACGCCGCGUGGAGGACGAAGAUCUUCGGGUCGUAGACUCCUUUCGAUCGAGACGAAUGGCCUCCGGGUGAACAAUCCGGAGGAAUGACGGUACCGAGAGAAGAAGCCCCGGCUAACUCCGUGCCAGCAGCCGCGGUAAUACGGGGGGGGCAAGCGUUGUUCGGAAUUACUGGGCGUAAAGGGCUCGUAGGCGGCCAACUAAGUCAGACGUGAAAUCCCUCGGCUUAACCGGGGAACUGCGUCUGAUACUGGAUGGCUUGAGUUUGGGAGAGGGAUGCGGAAUUCCAGGUGUAGCGGUGAAAUGCGUAGAUAUCUGGAGGAACACCGGUGGCGAAGGCGGCAUCCUGGACCAACACUGACGCUGAGGAGCGAAAGCCAGGGGAGCAAACGGGAUUAGAUACCCCGGUAGUCCUGGCCCUAAACGAUGAAUGCUUGGUGU
This 608-nucleotide ribosomal RNA is filed under the name uncultured soil bacterium. Its description in RNAcentral is "bacterial SSU rRNA". It matches the Rfam family "Bacterial small subunit ribosomal RNA", at positions 224 to 823 of the family's 1533-position model. The record is from RNAcentral.